RNAcentral lists this long non-coding RNA (300 nucleotides) under Chloebia gouldiae (Gouldian finch). RNAcentral's name for it is "Erythrura gouldiae (Gouldian finch) lncRNA (ENSEGOG00005002049.1)". Lineage: Eukaryota; Metazoa; Chordata; Aves; Passeriformes; Passeridae. The record is from RNAcentral.
CACCCUUUAGACUUCCAAUGCUUCUGGCUUUAAUAUUCUGUGCUAGAUUCACAGAGCUCCUCUACAGAUGCUAAGCGUUCAAUCCUGAAGGCUCCACUUCAUCAUCAGGGGUCCUUCAGCAGCCAUCAUUAUCCCAUGCCAACUGCCCUCUUCGUUUGCCUACUGACAACCAGUGUCCUUUCCUAAAAUGCUCCGACGGUGCCAUGGCUUUAGAACAUGAAGUCUUCCCAACUAUGCCAGGGAGAGGAGCUGAGCAGAGUUUGGGUAAUUGAAACCUGCUCAGCCAAGGGAUACCUUGAC